AACAAUAAAUAAAAAUUUAUUGAAAAUUAAAUAAUCAAAAUCAGCCAUCACUUUUGAAUUGUGGAUUAACAUAAUUAUUUAAAAAAACAAACUAAUGAAAUAGGGCUGGACAAAAAUGAUGGUACCCAUAACUUAAUAUUUUGUUGCACAACCUUUUGAGGCAAUCGCUGCAAUUAAACGAUUUCUGUAUUUGUCAAUGAGCGUUCUGCAGCUGUCAACAGGUAUUUUGGCCCACUCCUCAUGAGCAAACAGCUCCAGUUGUCUCAGGUUUGAUGGGUGUCUUCUCCAAAUGGCAUGUUUCAGCUCCUUCCACAUAUGUUCAAUGGGAUUCAGAUCUGGGCUCAUAGAAGGCCACUUUAGAAUAGUCCAACGCUUUUCUCUCAGCCAUUCUUGGGUGUUUUUGGCUGUGUGUUUUGGAUCGUUGUCCUGUUGGAAGACCCAUGACCUGCGACUGAGACCAAGCUUUCUGACACUAGGCAGCACAUUUCUCUCCAGAAUGCCUUGAUAGUCUUCAGAUUUCAUCGUACCUUGCACACUUUCAAGACACCCUGUGCCAGAUGCAGCAAAGCAGCCCCAAAACAUUACUGAGCCUCCUCCAUGUUUCACCGUAGGGACAGUGUUCUUUUCUUCGUAUGCUUGGUUUUUGAGUCUAUGAACAUAGAGUUGAUGUGCCUUACAAAAAAGUUCCAGUUUGGUCUCAUCUGUCCAAAGGACAUUCUCCCAGAAGCUUUGUGGCUUGUCAACAUGCAUUUUUGCAAAUUCCAGUCUGGCUUUUUUAUGAGUUUUUUUCAGCAGUGGUGUCCUCCUUGGUCGUCUCCCAUGAAGUCCACUUUGGCUCAAACAACGACGAAUGGUGCGAUCUGACACUGAUGUACCUUGGCCUUGGAGUUCACCUUUAAUUUCUUUGGAGGCUCUUUGGAUACAAUUCCAACGAUCCGUCUCUUCAAUUUGUCAUCAAUUUUCCUCUUGCGGCCACGUCCAGGGAGGUUGGCUACUGUCCCGUGGGUCUUGAACUUCUGAAUAAUAUGAGCCACUGUUGUCACAGGAACUUCAAGCUGUUUAGAGAUGGUCUUAUAGCCUUUACCUUUAAGAUGUUUGUCUAUCAUUUUUUUUCGAAUGUCCUGGGACAAUUCUCUCCUUCGCUUUCUGUUGUCCAUGUUCAGUGUGGUACACACCUUUUCACCAAACAGCAGGGUGACUACUUGUCUCCCUUUAAAUAGGCAGACUGACUGAUUAUGAGUUUGGAAACACCUGUGAUGUCAAUUAAAUGACACACCUGAGUUAAUCAUGUCACUCUGGUCAAAUAGUUUUCAAUCUUUUAUAGAGGUACCAUCAUUUUUGUCCAGGCCUGUUUCAUUAGUUUGUUUUUUUAAAUAAUUAUGUUAAUCAACAAUUCAAAAGUAAUGGCUGUUUUUGAUUAUUUAAUUUUCAAUAAAUUUUUAUUUAUUGUUA
Acanthochromis polyacanthus (spiny chromis) is the source of this 1452-nucleotide long non-coding RNA. RefSeq lists it as uncharacterized. Lineage: Eukaryota; Metazoa; Chordata; Actinopteri; Pomacentridae. The record is from RefSeq and is a predicted model, not a curated record. The transcript has 2 exons.